This 906-nucleotide ribosomal RNA is filed under the name uncultured bacterium. RNAcentral describes it as "bacterial SSU rRNA". It matches the Rfam family "Bacterial small subunit ribosomal RNA", at positions 1 to 894 of the family's 1533-position model. The record is from RNAcentral.
CACAGUCCUUAGAGUUUGAUCCUGGCUCAGGAUGAACGCUAGCUACAGGCUUAACACAUGCAAGUCGAGGGGAAACGACAUCGAAAGCUUGCUUUUGAUGGGCGUCGACCGGCGCACGGGUGAGUAACGCGUAUCCAACCUGCCCACCACUUGGGGAUAACCUUGCGAAAGUAAGACUAAUACCCAAUGAUAUCUCUAGAAGACAUCUGAAAGAGAUUAAAGAUUUAUCGGUGAUGGAUGGGGAUGCGUCUGAUUAGCUUGUUGGCGGGGUAACGGCCCACCAAGGCGACGAUCAGUAGGGGUUCUGAGAGGAAGGUCCCCCACAUUGGAACUGAGACACGGUCCAAACUCCUACGGGAGGCAGCAGUGAGGAAUAUUGGUCAAUGGACGAGAGUCUGAACCAGCCAAGUAGCGUGCAGGAUGACGGCCCUAUGGGUUGUAAACUGCUUUUAUAAGGGAAUAAAGUGAGUCUCGUGAGACUUUUUGCAUGUACCUUAUGAAUAAGGACCGGCUAAUUCCGUGUCAGCAGCCGCGGUAAUACGGAAGGUCCGGGCGUUAUCCGGAUUUAUUGGGUUUAAAGGGAGCGUAGGCCGGAGAUUAAGCGUGUUGUGAAAUGUAGACGCUCAACGUCUGCACUGCAGCGCGAACUGGUUUCCUUGAGUACGCACAAAGUGGGCGGAAUUCGUGGUGUAGCGGUGAAAUGCUUAGAUAUCAUGAAGAACUCCGAUCGCGAAGGCAGGCAUCCGGGGUGCAACUGACGCUGAGGCUCGAAAGUGCGGGUAUCAAACAGGAUUAGAUACCCUGGUAGUCCGCACAGUAAACGAUGAAUACUCGCGGUUUGCGAUACAGUGUAAGCCGCCAAGCGAAAGCGUUAAGUAUUCCACCUGGGGAGUACGCCGGCAACGG